AGAGUUUGAUCCUGGCUCAGGAUGAACGCUGGCGGCGUGCUUAACACAUGCAAGUCGAACGAACCUUCGGGUUAGUGGCGGACGGGUGAGUAACGCGUGAGAAUCUGCCCUCAGGAGGGGGAUAACGGCUGGAAACGGCCGCUAAUACCCCAUAUGCCGAGAGGUGAAAUGAAUUUCGCCUGAGGAUGAGCUCGCGUCUGAUUAGCUAGUUGGUGUGGUAAAGGCUCACCAAGGCAUCGAUCAGUAGCUGGUCUGAGAGGAUGAUCAGCCACACUGGGACUGAGACACGGCCCAGACUCCUACGGGAGGCAGCAGUGGGGAAUUUUCCGCAAUGGGCGCAAGCCUGACGGAGCAACGCCGCGUGAGGGAUGAAGGCCUCUGGGCUGUAAACCUCUUUUAUCAAGGAAGAAGAUCUGACGGUACUUGAUGAAUAAGCCACGGCUAAUUCCGUGCCAGCAGCCGCGGUAAUACGGGAGUGGCAAGCGUUAUCCGGAAUUAUUGGGCGUAAAGCGUCCGCAGGCGGUCUUGAAAGUCUGUUGUUAAAGCGUGGAGCUCAACUCCAUUUCAGCAAUGGAAACUAGAAGACUAGAGUGUGGUAGGGGCAGAGGGAAUUCCCGGUGUAGCGGUGAAAUGCGUAGAUAUCGGGAAGAACACCAGUGGCGAAGGCGCUCUGCUGGGCCAUAACUGACGCUCAUGGACGAAAGCCAGGGGAGCGAAAGGGAUUAGAUACCCCUGUAGUCCUGGCCGUAAACGAUGAACACUAGGUGUCGGGGGAAUCGACCCCCUCGGUGUCGUAGCCAACGCGUUAAGUGUUCCGCCUGGGGAGUACGCACGCAAGUGUGAAACUCAAAGGAAUUGACGGGGGCCCGCACAAGCGGUGGAGUAUGUGGUUUAAUUCGAUGCAACGCGAAGAACCUUACCAGGGUUUGACAUCCUGCGAAUCCCUUGGAAACUUGGGAGUGCCUUCGGGAGCGCAGUGACAGGUGGUGCAUGGCUGUCGUCAGCUCGUGUCGUGAGAUGUUGGGUUAAGUCCCGCAACGAGCGCAACCCACGUCUUUAGUUGCCAGCAUUAAGUUGGGCACUCUAGAGAGACUGCCGGUGAUAAACCGGAGGAAGGUGUGGAUGACGUCAAGUCAUCAUGCCCCUUACAUCCUGGGCUACACACGUACUACAAUGCUACGGACAAAGGGCAGCAAACUCGCGAGAGCUAGCAAAUCCCAUAAACCGUGGCUCAGUUCAGAUCGUAGGCUGCAACUCGCCUACGUGAAGGAGGAAUCGCUAGUAAUCGCAGGUCAGCAUACUGCGGUGAAUACGUUCCCGGGCCUUGUACACACCGCCCGUCACACCAUGGAAG
Molecule: ribosomal RNA, 1354 nt
Filed under: metagenome
Description: bacterial SSU rRNA
Rfam family: Bacterial small subunit ribosomal RNA
Source: RNAcentral